Molecule: transfer RNA, 75 nt
Filed under: Marmota monax (woodchuck)
Lineage: Eukaryota; Metazoa; Chordata; Mammalia; Rodentia; Sciuridae
Description: tRNA.Ala
Rfam family: tRNA
About the family: Transfer RNA (tRNA) molecules are approximately 80 nucleotides in length. Their secondary structure includes four short double-helical elements and three loops (D, anti-codon, and T loops). Further hydrogen bonds mediate the characteristic L-shaped molecular structure. tRNAs have two regions of fundamental functional importance: the anti-codon, which is responsible for specific mRNA codon recognition, and the 3' end, to which the tRNAs corresponding amino acid is attached (by aminoacyl-tRNA synthetases). tRNAs cope with the degeneracy of the genetic code in two manners: having more than one tRNA (with a specific anti-codon) for a particular amino acid; and 'wobble' base-pairing, i.e. permitting non-standard base-pairing at the 3rd anti-codon position.
Source: RNAcentral
GUUGGGAUGUAGCUCAGUGGUAGAGCACUUGUUUAGCAUGUAGGGGGUCCUUGGUUCAAUCCCCUAGUACCAAAA